UCUUAGGGGCCAGAAAGAGAUCUGAAGCCAAGAAGGUGCCAGAGGAAGCCAAGAGUUGCCAUCUUGGUUCUCAGGUGGACUGCAGGGGAUGGAUGCAGGUCAGCUCGGAUCUCCCAGGGAAAGAGCUUGAGUCAGAGCAGCCAGGAGGCCAUGGGCAUUCAGCAUGUUCUUCAGACUCCUUGCUCAAAGAGGAUGCUCUACCUGCACCCUCACCUUGCCAGGCUUGCCAGAAAACAAGUUAUUUUCAGCAUCCGUGGGCAGCAAAAGGAGAAGAAAGUCAUGAGCCGGAAGGAAUGACUGCAGAAAUGAGCCCAUUCAGAGGAAGGCUGGUCCUAUGUCUCCUUGGCACAAUGUUGGGUGCCAAAGAACUUGGGAGAAGUUGUCACAAGAUAUUCUGGGGUUUUGUGGGUUCUUUCAGUAACAAUGGGAGAUUGCAUUCACUCUGAAGGUUGGAGAAAGCAACUCAGAAGUUAAUUAGGGUCCCCCCAAAGAGCUUUUGUCAUUAAGAUGGGCCCAAACCAACCCAAGUAGAUAUAUUCAAGACUAGCUUAAGAGGUGAUGAGAAGCUGGCAUCCCAUGGCUCACACCUUUAAUCUCAGCCGCUUGGGAAGCUGAAAUUUUUGGGACUAACACUGGAGGCCAGCCUGGGCAGGGAAAAAGUUCGAGACGCAUUGCCAACAAAGAUAUGGACAUAAUGGUGGGUGCCUGUAAUCCUAGCUACCAAGAAACAUAACAUAGAUGCAUCACACCCAGACUCACCCCAGCAGGAAACAAAACCCUACCUAAGAAACAACCAUUAAAAAUCAGGGUUGGAGGUGUGGCUCAGUGGUCAGAGUGAUUGUUUAAGAAGCCCAAGGCUCUGAGUUUAAACACCAGUACUGCCAAGAGGGGGGAGAAGGGGGAAGACUGAAAGAGCGCCCUAAUGAAGCAAUUUUACGUGAUGUAUUAUGUGGGACAGACAACCCUUGCUUUCUCCUCUGAUUUACAAUGAACACUGCUGGAGGAAAAAAAAGAAAGAAAUCUUUCAUACUAAAGUACUAAUGAUUAUAACAACAACAAAAAAGGUUCAUAUGAAUGACUGAUAGGAAGCUGGUCUUGAGUAAACAGAAAAAAAAAUGUACACAUGACCUACAAUGGAAGAGGUAUUAACCUUGCUUCUAGCCUACUUCAACCAAAGCUAAUAGAGGUAAUAGUCAACAUCUCCUUUGAUGGCGCUUACUGCCCAUCUAUGAAUAUUCUGAGCCCCUAGUUCUCCCCAAUAUCAUUCAUCCUGCUGAAAAGAUGAGGAAUUAGCACUUAAAAGAGGUUGGGUAAUUUGCAAAGUUUAUCUGACUGCAAGCUCUUAACCUUUGGGGUCUACCACACACCCCAGAAACCCAUACCUUACCUCUAAGGUCCUUCAAUUUCCCAUACCCCACUUACACUUUCAGAGGCUUUAUU
Molecule: long non-coding RNA, 1440 nt
Organism: Dipodomys spectabilis (banner-tailed kangaroo rat)
Lineage: Eukaryota; Metazoa; Chordata; Mammalia; Rodentia; Heteromyidae
Exons: 3
Source: RefSeq, a predicted model, not a curated record